RNAcentral lists this ribosomal RNA (428 nucleotides) under uncultured bacterium. RNAcentral describes it as "partial 16S ribosomal RNA". It matches the Rfam family "Bacterial small subunit ribosomal RNA", at positions 354 to 796 of the family's 1533-position model. The record is from RNAcentral.
GUGGGGAAUAUUGGGCAAUGGGGGAAACCCUGACCCAGCAACGCCGCGUGAGGGAAGAAGGUUUUCGGAUUGUAAACCUCUGUCCUUGGUGACGAAGGAAGUGACGGUAACCAAGGAGGAAGCCCCGGCUAACUACGUGCCAGCAGCCGCGGUAAUACGUAGGGGGCAAGUGUUGUCCGGAAUGACUGGGCGUAAAGGGCGUGUAGGCGGCCGAUUAAGUCUGGAGUGAAAGUCCUGCUUUCAAGGUGGGAAUUGCUUUGGAGACUGGUUGGCUUGAGUGCGGAAGAGGUAAGUGGAAUUCCCAGUGUAGCGGUGAAAUGCGUAGAGAUUGGGAGGAACACCAGUGGCGAAGGCGACUUACUGGGCCGUAACUGACGCUGAGGCGCGAAAGCGUGGGGAGCGAACAGGAUUAGAAACCCCGGUAGUCC